ACAAGAGAGAGAGAGAGAGAGAGAGAGAGAGAGAGAGAGAGAGAGAGAGAGAGAAUGAGGAGCAGGGAGUUCUGAGUCCAACCCACAUGCGCCCCAUCAUCAUUACAGCUCAGUGAAUGGGUUGCCAUAGCCCAUAGCAUUUGAUACAUCUCUCUCUCUCUCUCUCUCUCUCUCUCUCUCUCUCUCUCUCUCUCUCUCCCUUCUAUCUAUUUGUA
RNAcentral lists this small RNA (215 nucleotides) under Prunus dulcis (almond). Its description in RNAcentral is "sRNA ncRNA". Lineage: Eukaryota; Viridiplantae; Streptophyta; Magnoliopsida; Rosales; Rosaceae. The record is from RNAcentral.